UAAUUUUAAUGUUUAUUGGUUUUGAUUAUUAUUUUAAUUGAAAUAACUUAUUUAUUUAGUAUAUUAUAGAAAUUAUUAAUUAUAAUUAUAGUUUAUUUUACUGUGAGGGAUACAUAAAAAUAAUUCGAAGAUUAGUUUAAUUCUAGUACCUUUUGUAUCAGGGUUUAUUAAAUUUUAUCAUUUAUUUGGUUUUCUCGAAAUUAUAAGAGUUAAUUUUAUAUGGAAUUUUAUGUUACAAAAUGAUUUUAAAUAUAAAAUUUGUAGUUAUAUGCUAUUCAUUUAUAAAUAUCUAGUUUCUUAAUAAAUAAAUUUAAUUUUUAAUUAUUGUAGUUAUAUUUUCUUUUUAUUAUUUUUAAUUCAUUAAUUUAAGAUGUAAAGGGAUUAGCUUUUGCAUUUUUAUAUAAUUUGUAUUUUUAUUUAAUUUAUGUAGGUUUAAGAACAUCCAUCUUUAAUUUCGUUAUAGUUUUAUUUAUAUUAUUAUUUAUUUAUUUUUAAUUUAUUAUUUUAUUAAGAUUAAUCUUUUAAUUUUUUAUAGUUUGUAAUAAUGAUAAAAUUAGUAGUUUUGUAAAAUUUAAUAUAGUAAUUCGGCAAAUAAUAUCUUCGCCUGUUUAACAAAAACAUGUCCUAUAGAUUUAAUUUUAGGUCUAUCCUGCUCAAUGAUUAUUAUUAAAUAGCCGCAGUAAUUUGACUGUGCAAAGGUAGCAUAAUCAUUUGUUCUUUUAUUGGGAUCUUGUAUGAAGGGUUUGACGAAAGAUAUGCUUUCUUUAUUUUAUUUUUUGAAUUUUAUUUUUUAGUUAAAAAGCUAAAAUGAUUUUGUAAGACGAGAAGACCCUAUAGAAUUUAAUUAAAUAUUUUCUUAUAGUAUUUUGUUAAUUAUUUUAUUUUAUUGUAAUUUUAAUUUGAUUGGGGUGAUUAAGAAAUUUUAUUAACUUUCUUUUUUAUUAAUCAUUAAUUAAUGUUUAUUUGAUCCUUUAUUAUGGAUUAAAAGAUUAAAUUACCUUAGGGAUAACAGCGUAAUUUCUUUGGAGAGUUCAUAUUGAUAGAGAAGAUUGCGACCUCGAUGUUGGAUUAAAAUUAUAUUUUGGUGUAGAAGCUAGAUUUAUAAGUCUGUUCGACUUUUUAAUUUUUACAUGAUCUGAGUUCAGACCGGCGUAAGCCAGGUUGGUUUCUAUCUACAAUAAAUUAAUUAAUAUUAGUACGAAAGGACCAUAUUAUUGUAAAAUUUAUUAAUUUUUGAUUAUUAUU
This 1245-nucleotide ribosomal RNA is filed under the name Malcus setosus. Its description in RNAcentral is "16S ribosomal RNA". The stretch from base 1005 to 1163 matches the Rfam family "Archaeal large subunit ribosomal RNA", at positions 2542 to 2701 of the family's 2987-position model. Lineage: Eukaryota; Metazoa; Arthropoda; Insecta; Hemiptera; Malcidae. The record is from RNAcentral.